Molecule: long non-coding RNA, 2142 nt
Filed under: Nicotiana tabacum (common tobacco)
Lineage: Eukaryota; Viridiplantae; Streptophyta; Magnoliopsida; Solanales; Solanaceae
Description: long non-coding RNA (NTAB_LNC013043)
Source: RNAcentral
AAACGCUCCCGGGUGAUCCAAAACCCGAUUCGAACAUACGCCCAAGUCCGAAAUCAUCAUACGAACCUAUUGGAACCGUCAAAUUCCGAUUCCGGGGUCCUUUUCUCAAAAUGUUGACCGAAGUCAAACUUGGCCUUUUAAGGCUAACUUAAGGAACCAAGUGUUUCGAUUUCAACCCACAACCAUCAAGAAUGGUAAAGGGCACUCAAAAGUAGCUCAGAUAUUCUGGUUGAUGUAUGUUGAAGCAGUCCAUGCCAUUUGGACGGAGAGAAACCAAAGGAUAUUUGAACAAGUCUACUACAGUCCUUCAUGUUCUAGUUUAUGGGGUCAAGUGCUAUAUGGUUAUAAUGGUUUUCUGCUACUCUAUGCUUUCUUAGGGCCUUGUAAUUACCUACUUAGAAGAAAGACAUAGAGUUUGGGUACUUCUAGUAGAUGGAUUAGAUAGCUGGAUGAGUUUGUCUGGGCUAUGACUAUGUAAAUAUUCUCUUGCUGAUUAAUAAAGUUUCUAAUUACCCAAAAAAAAAAAGAGUUCCCCUAUGUCUUGAGAAUUUACGUCAUAUAAAAGGUCCAUGAAUCGAAUAUGCAAGAAAUAUGUGAUCAAUCUGAAGAAACUCAAGUAACUGUAUACAUAAGCAAAACUCAAGUAGGCAACACAAGUAGUAUUCAGCGCUGCCAAGAAGAAGAAUAUGAAAAGAUCCAUGAAUCAAGCCCGCGAACAAUAUGUUUGAAGCAACUAGAACUUGAAGCUUCCAAUAAGAGGAAUUGUUGGAAAGAUUACCAGCUGACUCUCCCUAGGCAAGCUUUCUGUCACAGCCUUCCAACCGAAAAACACCAGGAGAACUGUAUGCCACCUACCCCGACACCUAGCUCCCUGUACUGAAGAUAUAACAAAUAACAUGUUACCACACAGAAAGAAAUUUACAUUAUUCUGUAGCUACUUCUAAAUGAUAUUCUAUUCUUGCUGAAAGACUCAAUAAUGUUUCCUGCAAAACAUAAUAUAACGAGGCAUACUAAGAAAAUUCACAAUCUUUCUCAAAAAAUAGCAGAAUUCUGACAACUUUUGAAACUUCAGAUGCCAAGUCCUAAAAUCAGACAGUCAUUAUUUCAUCAAUCAAAGCUCAAACAUGUCAGUCAUACAUGUCCUUCUAAGCAUGAUCCCUUUAUUAAUGAAAGGCUCAAGUAUGGAACUGUUCCGAUAGACAACUAAUCCAUGUUCACACAUGUCCAACCAGUCUGUCAUUUGAAAUGAUCCUUUUUUCAACUGAAUACUGCUCUUAUGAGCUUUUUUAUCAUCCAAACAUUUCCACUGUUUGCUUCAAUAUUAAUUACAGCUUAAAGAGUUUUAAUACUGAAACUUUAGGCAGACAGAUAGUGCACAACCCCAAAAAUCCAUGUCGAUUCCAAUCAGUCUGAGAGUGCUUCUUUGACAGAACACAACUGACUACAGAAGUUGAGUGUUUGGUCUAAGCUUGUGAGUAUCUUUAUUUCAAAGUUAGUUGCUGUAUCAAUUGACUCAAGAAAUCAAAUUGAAAUUACCACUUAUGCUUUUUUCCUUGUCCUGUUCUAGAUUUAAUUGAGUUAAAAUAGUUAGAAGGCCUGUCUACCACCAGCCCAGUUCCCUUCCCUUUCUUUCCUCUGCUUAGAAGAGCUGUUGGAUUGCAUACAGAGCCUCAAAACAGGGCUCAGAAACAGCUUCUAUUUGACCCAAGAUUCCAAGUCCUACUUUCUCUUCCUUGACUAGUCGUGACAAUACCUCAAGUAAUGUGUUCAGAAUCAAGCCGUUUCAAUCGUCAAUCUCAUUGCCAAAUUCAUUGGUGAAAAACUCCAUUUGAUGCAACAAACAAAGAGGAACCAAGAAAAACAGUGAAGAAUUCUAGCCUAACAGUAGUAAAAAGAAAUGGAGACUACAAGAUUCCUGUUGAAGUGUAAACAGCUUUAGGGAGGAAGCUUAAUCUAAUAACCAAUAAAGAAAUUCAAAAGAACAGCUACAGUGAAGACCAAGGACCAGUAAAACAUUGGAAACAAUGUCAAAGCAGACAGUAGACUACACAAUAUAACAUCAUUUGCCAUGAAAAUACAAGAAUAUAUCACGUUAUGAUCAUAAGUUCAUAACAUCCAACCAAAGGCCACACAGCAAAAGCG